UGGGGAAUAUUGCGCAAUGGGGGGAACCCUGACGCAGCCAUGCCGCGUGAAUGAAGAAGGCCUUAGGGUUGUAAAGUUCUUUCGGUAUUGAGGAAGGUUGAUGUGUUAAUAGCACAUCAAAUUGACGUUAAAUGCAGAAGAAGCACCGGCUAACUCCGUGCCAGCAGCCGCGGUAAUACGGAGGGUGCGAGCGUCAAUCGGAAUAACUGGGCGUAAAGGGCACGCAGGCGGUUAUUUAAGUGAGGUGUGAAAGCCCCGGGCUUAACCUGGGAAUUGCAUUUCAGACUGGGUAACUAGAGUACUUUAGGGAGGGGUAGAAUUCCACGUGUAGCGGUGAAAUGCGUAGAGAUGUGGAGGAAUACCGAAGGCGAAGGCAGCCCCUUGGGAAUGUACUGACGCUCAUGUGCGAAAGCGUGGGGAGCAAACAGGAUUAGAUACCCUGGUAGUCCACGCUGUAAACGCUGUCGAUUUGGGGGUUGGGGUUUAACUCUGGCGCCCGUAGCUAACGUGAUAAAUCGACCGCCUGGGGAGUACGGCCGCAAGGUUA
This 547-nucleotide ribosomal RNA is filed under the name uncultured bacterium. Its description in RNAcentral is "bacterial SSU rRNA". It matches the Rfam family "Bacterial small subunit ribosomal RNA", at positions 355 to 896 of the family's 1533-position model. The record is from RNAcentral.